This 429-nucleotide ribosomal RNA is filed under the name uncultured archaeon. Its description in RNAcentral is "bacterial SSU rRNA". It matches the Rfam family "Archaeal small subunit ribosomal RNA", at positions 474 to 903 of the family's 1478-position model. The record is from RNAcentral.
UACCAGCUCUCCGAGUGGUAGGGAUGUUUAUUGGGCUUAAAGCGUCCGUAGCCGGCUUAGCAAGUCUCCUGUUAAAUUCAGCGACCUAAUCGUUGAGCCGCGGGAGACACUAUUAGGCUAGGAGGCGGGAGAGGUCAACGGUACUUCCGGGGUAGGGGUGAAAUCCUAUAAUCCCGGGAGGACCACCAGUGGCGAAGGCUGUUGACUAGAACGCGCUCGACGGUGAGGGACGAAAGCUGGGGGAGCGAACCGGAUUAGAUACCCGGGUAGUCCCAGCUGUAAACGAUGCGAGCUAGGUGUUGGGGUGGCUACGUGCCACUUCAGUGCCGCAGGGAAGCCAUUAAGCUCGCCGCCUGGGGAGUACGGCCGCAAGGCUGAAACUUAAAGGAAUUGGCGGGGGAGCACCACAAGGCGUGAAGCUUGCGGUUC